Regulatory RNA element from Thauera sp. 27, 76 nucleotides. It matches the Rfam family "DUF3085 RNA". NCBI's taxonomy places the organism in Bacteria, Pseudomonadati, Pseudomonadota, Betaproteobacteria, Rhodocyclales, Zoogloeaceae. The record is from Rfam.
CGGUAGCUGGACUAAACCGGGUCGAAAGACCGAACCCAGCCUUCAACGCCCAUCCAGGGCACAUCAACCCCGCGGG